UUUUCAAGCCUGUAGUCGUGCCUGGUAAAUCCGCCGGGCUUAGAUGAGGGGUGAUAACGAGGCUGCUUGCAGCCGAAGUGAGUGAUACCCUGCUUCCAGGAAAAGCCACUAAGCUUCAGCUACACACGACCGUACCGCAAACCGACACUGGUGCGCGAGAUGAGUAUUCUAAGGCGCUUGAGAGAACUCAGGAGAAGGAACUCGGCAAAUUGACACCGUAACUUCGGAAGAAGGUGUGCCUUUAGUAGGUGAACCUGUACAAGGGGAGCCCAAUGAGGUUGCAAAAAAUCGGUGGCUGCGACUGUUUAAUAAAAACACAGCACUCUGCAAACACGAAAGUGGACGUAUAGGGUGUGACGCCUGCCCGGUGCUGGAAGAUUAAAUGAUGGGGUGCAAGCUCUUGAUUGAAGUCCCAGUAAACGGCGGCCGUAACGAUAACGGUCCUAAGGUAGCGAAAUUCCUUGUCGGGUAAGUUCCGACCUGCACGAAUGGCGUAACGAUGGCCACACUGUCUCCUCCUGAGACUCAGCGAAGUUGAAAUGUUUGUGAUGAUGCAAUCUCCCCGCGGAAAGACGGAAAGACCCCAUGAACCUUUACUGUAGCUUUGUAUUGGACUUUGAACAGAUCUGUGUAGGAUAGGUGGGAGGCUUUGAAGUGUGGUCGCUAGAUCGCAUGGAGCCAACGUUGAAAUACCACCCUGGUGUGUUUGAGGUUCUAACCUAGGCCCGUAAUCCGGGUCGGGGACAGUGCAUGGUAGGCAGUUUGACUGGGGCGGUCUCCUCCCAAAGCGUAACGGAGGAGUUCGAAGGUACGCUAGGUACGGUCGGACAUCGUGCUAAUAGUGCAAUGGCAUAAGCGUGCUUAACUGCGAGACUGACAAGUCGAGCAGAUGCGAAAGCAGGACAUAGUGAUCCGGUGGUUCUGUAUGGAAGGGCCAUCGCUCAACGGAUAAAAGGUACUCUGGGGAUAACAGGCUGAUACCGCCCAAGAGUUCAUAUCGACGGCGGUGUUUGGCACCUCGAUGUCGGCUCAUCUCAUCCUGGGGCUGUAGCCGGUCCCAAGGGUAUGGCUGUUCGCCAUUUAAAGAGGUACGUGAGCUGGGUUUAAAACGUCGUGAGACAGUUUGGUCCCUAUCUUCCGUGGGCGCUGCAGAUUUGAGGAAGCCUGCUCCUAGUACGAGAGGACCGGAGUGGACACACCUCUGGUGUAUCGGUUGUCACGCCAGUGGCAUUGCCGAGUAGCUAUGUGUGGAAGAGAUAACCGCUGAAAGCAUCUAAGCGGGAAACUCGUUUCAAGAUGAGAUCUGCCGGGGCCUUGAGCCCCCUAAAGAGUCGUUCAAGACCAGGACGUUGAUAGGUCGGGUGUGGAAGCGCAGUAAUGCGUUAAGCUAACCGAUACUAAUUGCUCGUGCGGCUUGACCA
RNAcentral lists this ribosomal RNA (1421 nucleotides) under metagenome. RNAcentral describes it as "bacterial LSU rRNA". It matches the Rfam family "Bacterial large subunit ribosomal RNA", at positions 1509 to 2925 of the family's 2925-position model. The record is from RNAcentral.